AUACUUAGCUAGCAGGAGCGAUACCAUAAUCAUGAACGUGGUUUUCCCAGGGUGAGGCUUAUCCAUUGCACUCCCCUGCGAUCUCCCCAUUAAAAAAAAAAAAUUCAAGAUUCGAGCUACAACACUGUACCUUUUGACCUGCAGGUUUGAUUUUGCAAACGUUGA
This 165-nucleotide small nuclear RNA is filed under the name Gorilla gorilla gorilla (western lowland gorilla). Its description in RNAcentral is "U1 spliceosomal RNA (ENSGGOG00000036069.2)". The record is from RNAcentral. Lineage: Eukaryota; Metazoa; Chordata; Mammalia; Primates; Hominidae.